UUUUCAUGGUUCAGAAUGUGUGCCUAUUGCCUUUUUCUUUGAAUGGCAUCAUAACUGGGUAUAAUAUUCUUGGGUAUACUUUCCUUGGGAAUGUUGUAGACACAUUCGCACUUUUCUGUCUUGGACUAUUAUGAGAAGACUGAUCCAACCCACUUGCCCCACCAUCACUUCAAUUAAUUUGCUUUCUUUCUCCAGGAUGCCUGAAGAAUUCUUUCCUAAUCUUUGACAUUGAGUAAUCCUAACCAGAAUCUGAGGAGUGUCCUGAGGUUUUUGGCAGAUUGAGAUGACAUUCUGGAAUUUCUUUGAGUCCGUCCCUGAGCUGUUGGUGUUGUGUUUGUUGUUCAUGCUGGUUGCGCGGCUGUGGUGUUUGUGGCCCAUCACUCCAAAUGGCCAAAGUCUGGAAGACACUGGAAAAUCUGAGAACGAUCCUGGUUGGAGGGUUGAGGGAGGCCUUUCCAAAGAGAUGGCGUGAUGGCAUCUCACUGCGCAGUCCUGUGUGGCCUCGCUGCGGAAGGAGGACAGACUGAAUGCACAGCUUUCAUCUCCGAGCCGGCCAGGCUACAGCUGCCAUCCUCCCAUCGCUCACGAAGGAACAGGUUGCUGCUGCUGCUGACUUGGAGCCAAGGUAGCUGGUAGAAGGGGGCUACAAAACCAGGAGCCGGCGGAGUGAGAAUUGGAAGCAUUUGAGAAAGGGAGUGGAAGAAUGCGGGACCCUUCCCACAGCCCUGCGGAGCCCUGCCAAGCCCUCCAGGCGCGCCAAGCCCUCCACGUAUUGCUGUUACAUGCCAAGUUUUACCAACUGUGACAUUCAUAUUUCUACAUCACAGUUUGACUUUUUCCCCCAAAGGAUGUUUAAGACAAUGAAUUUUUUGAAUUUGCCCAGCAGAUGUUGGAAUGUUGUGACUCAGUGUUCGAGGCUCUUCACUCCAAAACCAAAUGUCCUUUCCCUGUCUGAGAGAUUGGAAAGUUCCUGUCACCUUCCUAUCCACC
Long non-coding RNA from Lutra lutra (Eurasian river otter), 990 nucleotides. RefSeq lists it as uncharacterized. The record is from RefSeq and is a predicted model, not a curated record. Lineage: Eukaryota; Metazoa; Chordata; Mammalia; Carnivora; Mustelidae. The transcript is spliced from 3 exons.